Small nuclear RNA from Cynocephalus volans (Philippine flying lemur), 104 nucleotides. Lineage: Eukaryota; Metazoa; Chordata; Mammalia; Dermoptera; Cynocephalidae. The record is from RefSeq and is a predicted model, not a curated record.
GUGCUCACUUCAGUAGCACAUAAACUAAAAUUGGAACAAUACAAAGAUCAGCGCAACUUCUGUGCGAGGGCGACAUACAAAUUUGUGAAGUGUUCCAUAUCUGG